UAGAGUAUGAUAGAGGAAAGCAGAAUUUCUAGUGUAGAGGUGAAAUUCGUAGAUAUUAGAAAGAAUACCAAUUGCGAAGGCAGCUUUCUGGAUCAUUACUGACACUGAGGAACGAAAGCAUGGGUAGCGAAGAGGAUUAGAUACCCUCGUAGUCCAUGCCGUAAACGAUGUGUGUUAGACGUUGGAAAUUUAUUUUCAGUGUCGCAGCGAAAGCGAUAAACACACCGCCUGGGGAGUACGACCGCAAGGUUAAAACUCAAAUGAAUUGACGGGGACCCGCACAAGUAGUGGAGCAUGUGGUUUAAUUCGAAGAUACGCGCAGAACCUUACCAACACUUGACAUGUUCGUCGCGACUCUAAGAGAUUAGAGUUUUCGGUUCGGCCGGACGAAACACAGGUGCUGCAUGGCUGUCGUCAGCUCGUGUCGUGAGAUGUUGGGUUAAGUCCCGCAACGAGCGCAACCCUCACUUUUAGUUGCCAUCAUUAAGUUGGGCACUCUGAAAGAACUGCCAGUGAUAAGCUGGAGGAAGGUGGGGAUGACGUCAAGUCCUCAUGGCCCUUACGUGUUGGGCUACACACGUGCUACAAUGGUAUCUACAACAGGAAGCAAGACUGCGAGGUCAAGCAAAUCCCUAAAAGAUACCUCAGUUCGGAUUGCACUCUGCAACUCGAGUGCAUGAAGCUGGAAUUACUAGUAAUCGUGGAUCAGCGUGCCACGGUGAAUGCGUUCCCGGGUCUUGUACACACCGCCCGUCACACCAUGGGAGUUGGUUCUACCUUAAGGCAAGGUUUAAAACCCUUGACCACGGUAUAGUCAGCGACUGGGGUGAAGUCGUAACAAGGUAGCCGUAGG
This 853-nucleotide ribosomal RNA is filed under the name marine metagenome. RNAcentral's name for it is "bacterial SSU rRNA". It matches the Rfam family "Bacterial small subunit ribosomal RNA", at positions 642 to 1506 of the family's 1533-position model. The record is from RNAcentral.